UGAGGCCCAAGACACUUAUCCAAGAUCAGCAAUGCUCAUAUCAAACUAGUUCAACAUUCAUCACAAUGCAUCCUCACUAAAACACUUAAGGUCGAAGUUCACUAGCUCCACCUUGCUGAAAUUCGCCUCUGACGGUGGCGGAGGGCCAAUAUCAAAAACUUUGAUCGCCUCGCCUCCCUCUAUCACGAUCCAACCUCCAAUUCUCCUUAUUCCUACUUACAGAUCCAAACUGAGCCAAAUUUACUUAGAAACCUCAAUUACUAAAUCUGAAAUUAAAUAAAAACUAGGAGGAACCAAAGCCUCCAACAUUAGAGCUUUGAUUCCUCAAAACGAGCCCUAUAUGAUGGUAACAACAACAAGGCGAAACAGAAGUAAAAUCAAGCAAUCUUACCUACAAGGAGGAGGAGUUCCUCAGUGUGUGUUGAGUUCGAAGGUGCAUACGAAGAAGGAGCAAGAAAUCUCCAGGUACACUUCAAAACUCUUUGUUCUUGUUACUUCUUCACUCUUCUUUUCCUACCUCUUCUAUGAUAUGUUGAGUUUGUUGUUGUUGAUGAGUGAUGAUUUUGUAUGUUCAUUAGAGAAUGAGGGUAAAGAGUUUGGAGAGUGAAGAGAGAGUGAGAUUGAAGUUCAGAGUGAAAGUGUGAGAAUCAGUGAUAAUGAUUAGUGAUGAACGAUUUCAUAGUGAUUGGGAAUUUGAUUGAAUUUGAUUUUCAGUGAGUGUGAAUCUCUAUCUGUGAAUUGUGAUUGAGCCAUUUUGCAAUGAUUGAGUAAUGAUUGGUGUGUUUAUGUGAAAUGGUUCAUGAUCCCUGAAUUUGAAGAUGAGGGAUUGGUUACAUAUGAGUUUAGUUUGUAACCGAUUCGGGUAGAGCGGGUAUUUUUGUUAGGUCUGGUUAACAUAGUUAAAAAAUUCAAAUGCAAAUUGGUUCUAUGUUAUCAGACUCUGUAUUUCAGUUUAGUUAGUUAGAUCUAAUUCAUUUCUAUUAUGAGCUGGUUAGUGUAGUUAGCUUGUUUAAAAGUUAGUUGUUAGAGGUUAGAAAUAGUUAAUAGUUAGUUGGGAUAAUUAGUUAUUAGCUUUGAAUUAUAAUGGAGUUAGUGUAGAAUCUGGUCCGAGUUCUUUUGAAGCCAAUUAAGAUUGUUAUGGCAUGUUAGUCUAAUUAUGUUUGAAGUUAGUUGAUAAGAAGAACUAUGCUUAGGUGAGCUAACUGUUAUAAUACUUUGAACGGGUAUUGUUAGGAUUAGUAAUUGAUCAAAUGGAUUAUUUGAAACUGACUUGUUAUUGGAACAAGUUAGUUAAUUUGUGAACAAAAAUUGAAAAUUUUCCUAAUGUAGAAAUGAACUGUGAAAAUUGAUAAUUCAAUUUUUGUUAUUUGGAUGACUGAGUUGUGAAAUCUUCAUGUCCAUACUUGGUAUUUUUUAUAUUUCUACUUAGUAGAUUAAAAAAUUAGUUAGGAAAUGAUUGAUAUGACUUGAAAUGGAUGUGAAUUGAAAUAGAGCUAUGGAAACCAGUUAGUUAGUUAGUUCAUUGAAUUUAGAAUUAGUUAUGGAAUGGAAUAAAUUGUUAGAGUUAACUUGGUUUGUCAUGACUGUUAUUUCCAUUAGAUGAGUUAGAAUAGUGAUAGGUGGGUGAAAUGUGGGAUGGAAUUUGAACUACAAAUUUUUGCCAUGGUUUCAAAUAGUGAAAGACAGGUGAAAUGUUGGGUGGAAUUUGAACUACAAAAUGUUGUUUUCUAUGUUGUUUGGAUGGAUUGGCAUGUGAAUUUCUUUGUAUGCAAGCUGAUCCAUGGACAUUGUCUUGACAUUUUGUAAUUGUACAUCAUGCUUUGAGUUGGAUGUGCAUUUGGUUAUGUGUGUCUGAGUAAAUGCUAAUUGUGUAUGUAUAUGAUUUUGUAGGCUUGUAUGAGCUUGGCAAGAAGGUGAUGGAAUGAGGAGCACUUAAUCAUGAGCAACUUGACACUAGGCAUGGGGCACCCUAAUAAAGAUUAGUGGCUUGGAUAUCAAGGUGAGAUCCAUGGAGAUGAAGAAAGGAAUAGGUCUAGGGUUAACAUUUAGAGGUUGACUUUGGUCAACUGUUUGGCCAGAAAGUGAAUAAUUGACCAAAAGUCCAUUGUAGGACAAAAGAUGGAAUUUUGUGUAAUUUUCGUAAGGACUUGUAUGUAAUGAAAUAUUUGAAUGCUUUGUAAUUAAAAUUGGCUUUUGAAUGAAUUAUGUGUAACUUGUGUUUCAAGCAAGAACCUUUUCCCUCCAAAAAAGAAAUCUUGAAUAAGAUUUUGUAGUUGAAUGCUUGAAUGAA
This 2290-nucleotide long non-coding RNA is filed under the name Lathyrus oleraceus (garden pea). RNAcentral describes it as "Pisum sativum (pea) long non-coding RNA (PSAT_LNC032870)". Lineage: Eukaryota; Viridiplantae; Streptophyta; Magnoliopsida; Fabales; Fabaceae. The record is from RNAcentral.